AGACACUUUGGAAGAUGUUUCUAGCUAAUACAAACAUCCAGGACAAGAAAAGCUGCCGCAGCAUUAGGUUGGAUUUCCAUCUCUUUUUCAUCCAGGGCACCUGCUCCCCUUUCCCUCCCCCCAGUCUUCCCAGCUGUCUGUCUGUCUCAUUUAUGUCAAUUAGAGAUUCAAUGCUGCCUGAUUUAAUUGGCCUGACUUUCCCCUCUAACAGAAACCCAGCGGAAGGCAGGGCGUGCAGGCGGCUCUCUGGGCAGGCCGACCGACCGACCGAGGCGGCUCUCGUGGCCGCGAGGGCAGCGACGUGUUUGCAGAGCACAAUAACCUGUUUGUCAUCAUCCGCCAGGAAUCGUAAGCGAAAGGCUGGCAACCUCCUAAUUGGGACCGGGACAACGGCGUCGUUAAAAGCGCAGCGGUGCACGUGAAUCGGUGAGGAAUCUGUGCAACUGGUUGCUCACCUUGGGUUGUUUUUUUUGGUGCUUUUAAAGAGGUCGACGGUCGCUCCCCGAGCUGAAGCUGCCUCCUCUUUGGAGGCCUGGUUGCAGGACUCCCCUGACCGCAGCCGUGGAGCUGCCAUCGGUGCUGCUCACCGCCAGCGAAGGUGGCCGAGGGCCGGGCCUGGCGCCCGUGGGGCAGCAGACCUGGAAGCAAAAUGGCUCGGCAGCAACCUCCGCCGUCCCCCCGCCGUCCCUCGCCAGCCAAGGCGCGGGAACUGGACCUGACCUACUUCUGCUCCCGGCUCCUCGCUUGCAUUUCCCUGACAAAUUAGCAGGCCCGUCCUCAUCGCUCAGAAGAAAUGAGUUUCCCAAGUAGCCGGCCCACGGAGGCAUAAAUAUUAAACAGCAACAGUACCAUCUAGUGACUUUGACUUACAGGCAACAUCAGUUAAGAAGAAGAAGAGGAAAUCUGAGAAUUAGCGAGGCCGAGCAAGGCCCCAGGGCUGCGGAGGAGAUCUUAUCCUUUUGCUCGUCCUGAUUCAGGAGGUGAGCCUUGCCCGCGCCGCGACCGUCUCCCCCGUGGAGCGCGGUGCAGUGAUGGGGAGGAAGCAAGACCAUCGCUACCUCCCAGCUGAACCCAGCGCUGACCCACGCUCCCUCUGCUGGUACUGAGCUCCCGUUUUUAAUGUGUUCACAACUUUCUGCCCAGACACACGCACCAGCUCCUUGCAAAGGCAAAACGUGAGAUUUAGCGCUGCGGUGCUUCCUCAGUCCCAAUAAAUACGCACCUUUGCACUACGGAGAGCCACCAGUCAACUCAUGGAGGAGACACGUGAAAUAAACACAGAAAAUUCCACUUAGGACCUCAAAAACAGGCCCCCAAGCUUCGCCUAAAGUGUGUGCAAACUCACAGGCCUCCUCCAAGCCGACCUGGGGUUACAUCCCAUCCGUACUCAAGGUGGCAACUUUUCACAGUUGUUUUCUAACACAAAUGCGCUACCUAUUUCCCAGUUAAGAGGCUUUUACUAUGUGCAUGAAACGCAUGUGACGGAAGAGAAGUGACAGAAAACACAAUACUGCCCAACUUAAACACUUAAAUGUUAUACGAAGGCUAUUAAAUGCCAUCAGUGCUUCCACAAGAAAUUGCUUCACCGUCUAAUCGAAUGUGUCCCCUCUUCGCUAUCGUGAGCGCCGCUCUGCCCGGAGUCCAGCCAGCCUUGCUCGUGGGCUGAUGGGUGCCUGACAAUUUUCUGGUUUCAAAUUAAACAGAAAACUAAAUUAGCAAAUUAAUUGUUUGCCGUGUUUUUCCUGGCUCCCCAUCAGCUGCCUCAGGAGCUGCAGCCAAUCCAGGGCCCCUCUCCGCAGUCCCGAGCAGGAGGUGGAGCCCCGCGCCGGGUCCUGCUAUCUGCCAAGUGUCAGUCAUGUUAAUUUUAAAUUACUUUUGUACAGCUUGGUGUCAAAACGAUUAAAGCAUGAAAAGAAAAACUGAACUAGAGAGCGGGAAGUGGCGGGGAGAAAGAGAGAAUGAAUAAUUUACCUUGCAUUUACAGCAAGGACACUUAGGUUUCUCCAACUCCUCAACUCCAAGAAGCUGAAACUUUUAUUUCCUCCUCUCUAACCUGCCCUGGGCUACGUCUUCUGAGCAAGUGCUCUGGGUCCUCACAGCCUGCAAGGGGCAAUAGCUGCUCGCCGCAGAAAGCCAUGAUAUUAUCUCCAUUUCUUUCCAGGUGAGAGUUUUCUCUGCAUCGCAUUUGCCAUUUGUGGCACUCACCAACGCAAGCCAACAAACCCACCCACCCGCCUGCAGGCAUCUUCUCCCUUUCUCGGCGCUCCGCUCCCCACCGGGUUUGCUCCGAAACCUGCACAUCCUGUGCUGGGUAAUUAUAUACUCAGAAAAUAUAUAAACACGUAAUCAGCUGCUGCCUGAAAUGUGCAAGGAGAAUUAGUGUCUCCUCAGACUCCCUCACGCAUGCAUAAAACGUACAUUCAAAAAGAUUUGCGAAGAGCGCAACUUCACCUGCAAAGUUAAGACAGGCUUAGCCACUUUUGUUAGUGUUUACCACGUCUUCGGAAUCAUACAUAGGAGCAUUUUUCCAUCCAGUAAAGGAAAGAGUGAUUAACGCAGACGUGCCAGGUCCCAAACAGGUCGCGCGACUGGAUGAAAAGCGCUCUUGAAAUUCGCUUCUCCGAAAGUACUUGCCCAACUUCUCUAGCGUGUUUGCUUUGGCUCCGUAAUCUCCGCAUCUCCUAAUCCUCACGGCUACAGCUCCUGCGACCUGCAGUGCGGUCUCCAGCGAGAGGUGGGAAGGCAAACAGAGACGCCCGCAACUGCAUCCGCGCUGCUGAUGUAUUUGAGCAAACUCCGCCGUCCCAUUCUCCCCAGUAUUUGCGUUGCCUCCACUUGGAGCAUGGAAAUGCCGUAUUUUUGCAGAGCCUAGGAACUGCGACUAGGCUACAGCGUUGCACAGGCUUCGGCUUAAACAUGCAGGCGUGGAAAUGUUUCUUUCAUUAACAGUGGGAUUCCCUUCACAUGGCAAUGUUUCUUCAGCUGCUGACCCACAAAUAAAUCAUUUAACUGAC
This is a long non-coding RNA of Dromaius novaehollandiae (emu), 3014 nucleotides long. RefSeq lists it as uncharacterized. The transcript is spliced from 2 exons. Lineage: Eukaryota; Metazoa; Chordata; Aves; Casuariiformes; Dromaiidae. The record is from RefSeq and is a predicted model, not a curated record.